AAUCAACGCUGGCGGCGUGCCUCAGACAUGCAAGUCGAACGAGAACCUCCCUUCGGGGAGGGGACAGUGGCGCACGGGUGAGUAACACGUGGGUAAUUUACCUUUGGGUGGGGAACAACAGCCGGAAACGGCUGCUAAUACCGCAUAAUGCAGCGGCUCGACAUCGAGACAGUUGUUAAAGCGGGGAUCGCAAGACCUCGCGCCUGAAGAGAAGCCUGCGGCGGAUUAGCAGUUGGUAGGGUAAUGGCCUACCAAGGCGACGAUCUGUAACCGGCCUGAGAGGGCGGUCGGUCACACUGACACUGACAUACGGGUCAGACUCCUACGGGAGGCAGCAGUCGGGAAUUUUGGGCAAUGGGCGAAAGCCUGACCCAGCAACGCCGCGUGAAGGAUGAAGCUUUUCGGAGUGUAAACUUCAUAAGAAUGGGAAGAAUAAGUGCGGGAUAAUACCCUUCAUGAUGACGGUACCAUUUGUAAGCUCCGGCUAACUCCGUGCCAGCCGCCGCCGUAAC
Molecule: ribosomal RNA, 512 nt
Filed under: uncultured bacterium
Lineage: Bacteria
Description: bacterial SSU rRNA
Rfam family: Bacterial small subunit ribosomal RNA
Source: RNAcentral